UACGUAGGGUGCGAGCGUUGUCCGGAAUUAUUGGGCGUAAAGAGCUCGUAGGCGGUUUGUCGCGUCGGCCGUGAAAACUUGGGGCUUAACCCCAAGCCUGCGGUCGAUACGGGCAGACUUGAGUUCGGCAGGGGAGACUGGAAUUCCUGGUGUAGCGGUGAAAUGCGCAGAUAUCAGGAGGAACACCGGUGGCGAAGGCGGAUCUCUGGGCCUGAUCUGACGCUGAGGCGCGAAAGCUAGGGGAGCGAACAGG
Molecule: ribosomal RNA, 253 nt
Filed under: uncultured bacterium
Lineage: Bacteria
Description: partial 16S ribosomal RNA
Rfam family: Bacterial small subunit ribosomal RNA
Source: RNAcentral